GUGCUCACUUCAGCAGCACAUAUACUAAAAUUAGAACUACACAGAGAAGAUUAGUAUGGCCCCUAUGCAAGGAUGACACGCAAGUUUGUGAAGCGUUCUAUAUUUUA
Molecule: small nuclear RNA, 107 nt
Organism: Loxodonta africana (African savanna elephant)
Lineage: Eukaryota; Metazoa; Chordata; Mammalia; Proboscidea; Elephantidae
Source: Ensembl